GUCCAUGCUGUAAACGAUGUCGACUUGGAGGUUGUGCCCUUGAGGCGUGGCUUCCGGAGCUAACGCGUUAAGUCGACCGCCUGGGGAGUACGGCCGCAAGGUUAAAACUCAAAUGAAUUGACGGGGGCCCGCACAAGCGGUGGAGCAUGUGGUUUAAUUCGAUGCAACGCGAAGAACCUUACCUGGCCUUGACAUCCACGGAAUUUAGCAGAGAUGCUUUAGUGCCUUCGGGAACCGUGAGACAGGUGCUGCAUGGCUGUCGUCAGCUCGUGUUGUGAAAUGUUGGGUUAAGUCCCGCAACGAGCGCAACCCUUAUCCUUUGUUGCCAGCGAUUCGGUCGGGAACUCAAAGGAGACUGCCGGUGAUAAACCGGAGGAAGGUGGGGAUGACGUCAAGUCAUCAUGGCCCUUACGGCCAGGGCUACACACGUGCUACAAUGGCGCAUACAAAGAGAAGCGACCUCGCGAGAGCAAGCGGACCUCAUAAAGUGCGUCGUAGUCCGGAUCGGAGUCUGCAACUCGACUCCGUGAAGUCGGAAUCGCUAGUAAUCGUAGAUCAGAAUGCUACGGUGAAUACGUUCCCGGGCCUUGUACACACCGCCCGUCACACCAUGGGAGUGGGUUGCAAAAGAAGUAGGUAGCUUAAC
RNAcentral lists this ribosomal RNA (646 nucleotides) under bacterium sp. R2A-51. Its description in RNAcentral is "bacterial SSU rRNA". It matches the Rfam family "Bacterial small subunit ribosomal RNA", at positions 793 to 1439 of the family's 1533-position model. The record is from RNAcentral.